ACUGCCUAUAAAAUACAAACCAAAGCAAAAGAAGACAUGAGGCUGCAGUGAGCUCAGAACAUGCAGAAGCCUAAUUUCCAGCAGAUACACUUUCAGAAGGGUCCCCAAACUAUGCUUAGAAGGGUAAUUUAUUGCUUUAGAUCAUGACUAUGUGAAUAAAUAAUAAGUAAAUCAGUAUGUCCCUCCUGCUUUUUAAAAGGACACCUCACCUCUCUUCAGGAAGGAUGCUGAAAGCAUCAGUUAGAGUAUCAUCUCCAAGAGCUGACACCUGCAACUUUAAAUUUUAAUGAAACAGAAACUGCAGGAAGAAACCUUGACAGGUUAUUCCAGAUAGUGUCAGUUUUAUAUCUAAAGCUAAUCAGGAACAAAAGAUGUUAGAUGUUAGCAUCAUUUGUAACCAGACAUGUAUGGGAGCUUCAGCUACUAAAGAUGAAAGAAACGAAACACAAACACCCUCCUGGCAUUGUAGUGCCUUAACUUUUCAAAGUUAGAACUUAGAAAGCUUCGCUUAAAAUAAACACUUCAGAAAAAAACCCUACAUUUCUAAACAAAUGUACACUGAAUACCUGCUUAAACACAUACCUCCUUUCCCAAAGGAAACAAAGUCUAUUUAGUCAUUAUCCUUUUAUUUAUUGAUCCGUAUGUUUUGUGUUUAAAAAUCCAUCAAGAAAUGCACAUUUUCCCAAAGAGAAUUUAAUGCAAAACAUAAUUAAAACAUUCCUUGAGCUCUUCUGCUUGCUUAUGUCAUGCGUAAAUUUUCCAUUUUUUCUCUAAAGUAACCUGUGUCUUUCCUCCAGAAUCUUCUAGUAUUAACAUUUAUCUCCAUAAACUGCAAAAGCAUGAUGCUGGCAGGCUGAUGUCACCUGGUAAUACUUCCACUUUACCACAACUUAAGCCACGUGGGGACUCAAGAUGACAAAGUGAGAUCCCAACAUCCCAAAGUGUUUUAAGGAGGAAAGCUGUGGCCAUCCUAAAAGAUCUUUAUUUCUACCGUUUCUUGAGGCCAAGGUCUGAGCUCAGAUCUCUGAUGUAUGUGACAGUACUGGAGGACAUAGAGAUUUCCUUUCCUGGAUCUCCAAUCCAAACUUACUCUUCCUGUCUUGAAUUUGGUUGGGAAUGAGUCUGGAGAGUGUGAAGACAUAAGGGGGGAAGGUUACUUUUGUAAGGAAUUUCCUCUGGGCCAUUACUACCUCACUUCCACUUCCAGUAAGUGAAACUGGUGGUGUCAGGAAAGGAAGUCACAGCUUCUAAAAGCUGGGAGACUUUGCAAGACUCUGUAAAGCACUGUACAGUUGUAGACGAGAACAUGUAAAAUUACUACCUUUAAAAUUGAGUUCGUACUGAUGCUGGCCAGCCUGGAAACGUACAACAGCAUCUGGAUUUGCUUGAUAUAAAUCCUCGAUUACAGCAGAAGAUGGUGGGGUCACGCUGUUCCCUUCUUCCUUUGUGGGGAGAAGAGAGAAAAAGAAAGAAUGAGAAGUAUCACAUUCAGGACUAAACCCUGGAUAACUAGCUGGGGUAGAGGGAAAGAAGAGGCAAAGAGUAGGAUGACAAGGAAUCUACCCAGAACUAUGGUGGCCUGAGGCUGAGUACUGAACAUUUGUAACAUAUGCACAAAUACAUAAUUAGUAAUGAUGGACACACAUAUAUUCCAUUUAAAUUCCUGUAACAAGUUACACUGGUUUUGCCUGGGGUAGAGUUAAAUUUCUUCCCAGUAGCUGGUAGUGGCUGUUUUGGAUUUGUGCUGAACAGAGCUGAUAACACAGGGAUGUUUUAGUGAGUGCUGAGCAGGGCGUGCACAGAGCCAAGGCCUUUUCUGCUCCUUGCCCACCCCACCUAUGACAGGACUGGGGGGCACAAGGAGUUGGGAGGAUACACAUCCAGGACAGCUGACCACUACUGGCCACAUCUGGGACAUCCCAGACCGUAUGGUGUCAAUCCAGUAUACAAAGCUGGGGGGAGGAGAAGGAAAGGGGAGACAUUUGGAGUGAUGGCAUUUGUCUUCCCAAGUCACUGUGACCUGUGAUAGAGCCCAGCUUUUCUGGGAUGGCUGAGCACCUGCUUGUCCAAGGGAAGUGGGGAACAAAUCCCUGGUUUUGCUUUCCUUGUGCACACACGUUUGCUUUGUCUUUUAGUCUUUAUCUCAUCCCACAAGUUUUCUCACUUUUACCCUUCCAAUUCCCUGUCCAGUUCCAUGGCAGGGGAGGGGGCGGGGCUGAGCUGCCACUGGGUGUGAUGGGUACACGCGACUCCUUACCAAACCAGUGUUAGUUUGGUUCAGGCUCCAAAGCAAGCAAAGGCCUAGGCCAAGAACUUUUCUAGUUCAAACUUGCUCUCUGAAAACCCGCAGAGGAACAGGGUGACAUGGUAAGCAUUGAUGCAUAUGAGCUGGGAAACAAACACUGAUGAUAUGAUUAAUGCAUGAAUAGCAAGUGGUUCUUCCAAGACUAGUUUGCCAAUGAAAAAUAAAGUUGCAGGGGUAAGGAGUCUCACUCUUACCUUUUACUUUGCUUGUGAUUUAACUAUGACCCAACCACUUCCUUCCACAGAUAGGAAAGCCUGAGUGGGCUCCUUGCAAGCACACCCUGCUAAGGAGCAGCUGCACAGCUGUGAUCUCUCCCGGAUGUGGGACACCUCUCAGGGUGACUCUUUGAGGCUGAGUACUCUUGGAGGUUACUCUCUGAGUCUUUUAAACUGUGCUCUACCCAACACCUUUCCCUGUGUACUUUUCCAAGUCCCUGGAUCACCUUUGUGUUCUAUCAUUUGUGCUGCUAUACUGUAAACCAUAUGGGGUACACUCAUCUGCCUUGGGGGAAGGUGAGAUUCUGUAUUUAUUUCUUUUCCUGCAUUUUUCAGAUAGAUUACUUUCUCAUCAAAGGACUUGGACAUACAAGGAAAAAGACUGCAUUUGAUCUGAGAGAGCAGAGCAACCCUUGCAUGUCCAAGGAAGCAGGGCAAUGUUUAGAAAAGAGGCAACUACUUCCCACAUAUCUUAAGGACAGUGUAUAUAUGUUAAAUCUCUCUAGGAGCCAUGGACAACUCCAAAAGGGAGCUCUCUUCCCUCUAGCCUGUCAGCAUUUUAUCAUGUCUGUUAUGAACAGCUGUAGCUUCACCACCUUACCCAACUGUAAAAUUCAAGCACAAGGAUUCACUUAAUUAAUCCUGCUGAGAAAAGGGGAAUGAUGCAGAGAGGUUCCACAUAUUCCCGCAGAAGUGACUCGAAGCACAGGAUGUGAACUCACCUGUUCUCCAUAUUCAAUCCACUUGUCUUGGUUAUUCUUCCAGUACCAAAUCCACUGUGUGGUCAGUACGAAUGUGGGUUUUGUGACUGACGAAGGUGUAGAGAGGCGUCGAACCAAAGACGAAGAGCAGGUCAUUGUCUGGAAAUUAAUGUUCCUACUUGCCAUGCUGCAAGGACAAAUUCAGGUUUAUUAUAGUUAACAGUGGAUAUUUUAUUCUCUAAUCCCUAGUUUAAGCUGGUGCCAUUUUCUUUAAUAUAAUGUGACCAAACUUAACUAGAUCUGAAAUAAGAGUAUUUAUUUCUCACAGCGCAUGACAGCUCUGAAAACCAUUUCCAAGCUUCAGAAGUGAACUCUGGCCUGUGAGACAACAAACGCCAUCUCAAUCACACGUGGCACUGCCAGCUUUACAGUGUCAGGCUCCAAGUACAGUGUGGCAAAAGGAACUUCUGUGAUAACUAAGCGUGGUUACAGUCUUUCUCAGUACAAAAGCAAACAUGGAAAGCAUGUGACUGAAUUUGCCAGCAAACACCUGCAGCUUACAAACUUCGUUCUUUUUCUGUGGUUACAAAGGAUGCAAUCACAGCAAUCACAGCUGUGAGUUCUGCAAACUGCAUUCAUCACUGGAGCCACCUGGGCUCUUACUUCUGUGAGGCUUGAAAAGUUAACUCCCAGGCAGAAAGAUUUUGAUAGCAGCCUCCUUUUGGGAAUAUUGCUAGUGAUCUCCAGAGAACUGCAAAUCAAAAUCAUCUGGUGCCUUAAGAGGCAUGGGCCAAAACUAGAAUACCGUUUUGUGAAGCUGAACUUGGGGUCCCCUAUGAAUCCAGGUGGCUUUGAGUGGUACUUUUCAGAAAGGAGUUAAAAGGAAAACACACUCUUAAAAUAGAAAGAACACAGAAAAAAAAAAAGGAUGGGCUCUCAUAUAAAGGGCAUUUCAUAAAAUGUCCCUAGGCACAUAAUAGAUGACUAUUAUUGUUAUUACAGAUACUAGCUCUACUAGGAAAGAAAUAGCCAGAAGGACCAGCUCUGAAAUGUUGUCAAAAGGCCCAACUUCAUUACUGUAAAUAAACUGAUCAACAAUCUGAAA
Molecule: long non-coding RNA, 4326 nt
Organism: Corvus hawaiiensis (hawaiian crow)
Lineage: Eukaryota; Metazoa; Chordata; Aves; Passeriformes; Corvidae
Exons: 3
Source: RefSeq, a predicted model, not a curated record